GACGAACGCUGGCGGCGUGCUUAACACAUGCAAGUCGAACGGUGAUGCUCCAGCUUGCUGGCGUGGAUCAGUGGCGAACGGGUGAGUAACACGUGAGCAACCUGCCCCAGACUCUGGAAUAAGCGCUGGAAACGGCGUCUAAUACUGGAUACGAAACUGGCCCGCAUGGGCAUGGUUUGGAAAGUUUUUCGGUUUGGGAUGGGCUCGCGGCCUAUCAGCUUGUUGGUGAGGUAAUGGCUCACCAAGGCGACGACGGGUAGCCGGCCGGAGAGGGCGACCGGCCACACUGGGACUGAGACACGGCCCAGACUCCUACGGGAGGCAGCAGUGGGGAAUAUUGCACAAUGGGCGAAAGCCUGAUGCAGCGACGCCGCGUGAGGGAUGACGGCCUUCGGGUUGUAAACCUCUUUCAGCAGGGAAGAAGCGAAAGUGACGGUACCUGCAGAAGAAGCACCGGCUAACUACGUG
Molecule: ribosomal RNA, 468 nt
Filed under: uncultured bacterium
Lineage: Bacteria
Description: partial 16S ribosomal RNA
Rfam family: Bacterial small subunit ribosomal RNA
Source: RNAcentral